CCUACGGGUGGCAGCAGUGAGGAAUAUUGGUCAAUGGACGAGAGUCUGAACCAGCCAAGUAGCGUGAAGGAUGACGGCCCUAUGGGUUGUAAACUUCUUUUAUAGGGGAAAAAAACAGGGAAUGCAUACCAUCUGGUAUGUACCAAAUGAAUAAGGAUCGGCUAACGCCGUGCAAGCAGCCGCGGUAAUACGGAGGAUCCGAGCGUUAGCCGGAUUGAUUGGGUUUAAAGGGAGCGUAGGUGGCUUGUUAAGGCAGUUGUGAAAGUUUGCGGCUCAACCGUAAAAUUGCAGUUGAAACUGGCAGUCUUGAGUACCGUAGAGGUGGGCGGAAUUCGUGGUGUAGCGG
This 346-nucleotide ribosomal RNA is filed under the name uncultured bacterium. Its description in RNAcentral is "partial 16S ribosomal RNA". It matches the Rfam family "Bacterial small subunit ribosomal RNA", at positions 338 to 681 of the family's 1533-position model. The record is from RNAcentral.